GAGAGUUCCAUAACUCACUCAUGGCCGGCGGGGUCUUUGUGCUUCAUGCCACUCACAACAGGGGCCAGACAGGCACUGCUUCUGUUCGAGCAGGAGGGCACAUGGGUACAAGGCUCUUGCCGCCAUGUGCUGUGGGGAGGAAGACUGGGGGUCCCGCCUUCUACUGUUCCAUGCCUAGUCUAGAUUGGGAAGCCAACCCCAGGUCUUUAAUAGGUAUGCUCAAAAUCCCUGACCAUGCCUCUGGAUUGAUUUCAGAAUAAUCACCAUGAAUUUGUUUUUACUGGGAUGACUUCCCAAUAAGACAGAACAAACAGACUCUAUAUCUGUUGAAAAUAAGUUUCCAUUCCUGCCCAUUUCUAGAAUUUAACCUUGAAAUUCAAAAGCUGGGUGAGCAUGGGGAAGUCACUUAACUGUUUUAGACAUCAAUCCCUCCAAUUACAAAAUAAGAUACUCUCACAUAAUGAUGAUUCAAGCUUCCUGAGUUUUAAAAUUCCUGAACUGUAUCAAUGAGCUAAUAAUUUUGCCCCUGGAACAGACUCAAGAAAGCUCUCAAUGAAGAUAAGGUCAGUAGUCAUCGCUUCUGUAGAGGCUGAUUAAAAGAUCUUUUCUUUCUUUCUUCUUUUUUAAUAGCAAAAGUUGUUCUACUUCCCUCCAACCAAACUAUCAAGCUCCUAGUUGCUCUAAUUUAACUUUAUUACUCUUUUGUCUUGUCAAUAAGAACAUAAUAGUGUCCUUAAAGAAAAUGACAGCUUUUUUCUUUUUCUUUGAGGUUUAUUUCAAACAAUUUUCUUUCUUCCUAAUGAGCCUGAUCCAUGUUUGCAGUUGCAUAUUGUGCUCUUUUAAUGGGGAGGUUUUCAAAUACAGAGAGGAGAAAGAAAAGCUGGCUUUGUUUUCCUUAUUUUUUGCUAGCCUUUUUGUCACUUCAAAUAGUUACCUUACAGAUCAUUUACAAAUCAUGGGCUGUUUGCAAUGCAGUGCAUUCCAAAGAUGGUGCCUUUUUUUUUUUUUCUUUUUUAAUCUUUUUAUAAAUGAGGUCUUGCCCAGAGACUCAAUGUGUCCAAAUCACCCCUCCUUCUGA
Molecule: long non-coding RNA, 1078 nt
Filed under: Capra hircus (goat)
Lineage: Eukaryota; Metazoa; Chordata; Mammalia; Artiodactyla; Bovidae
Description: lncRNA (ENSCHIG00010003408.1)
Source: RNAcentral